RNAcentral lists this long non-coding RNA (3168 nucleotides) under Homo sapiens (human). RNAcentral describes it as "HSALNT0147070". The record is from RNAcentral. Lineage: Eukaryota; Metazoa; Chordata; Mammalia; Primates; Hominidae.
GGUCAACAGUUCUCAGUUUUUGGUCCCUGAGGAGCAGCAUCAUCAUCACCUAGGAACUUGUUAGAAAGAUGCUCCUUGAAAUUUGAGAACUACAACUCCACCUCUUGGACUUGAGGAUGAGGAAGGCUUGGUCAGCUUGUUUAUUCCCUAAGGAUACUACAAGGAUACUCUAGUCAUCUUCAUAUAAAAUGAUCAAGGUGAAGAAAUAUAAAAUGAUCAAGGUGAAGAAAAUAACCAAGUUUCAGGUGACUCCACUGAAAAACAAGCCCCUGUGACUCACUUUAUCAUUGAGACCUGGCUAAGAAAUGGGUGUAAGGAAAAAGAGGCCCACUAUGACACCGUGACAGGCUAAAGAGCCUUUUGAAUGGAAACUACAUAAAGCAUCAAGCCCCUGAAAAGAAUGACCAGACAAAAGUGCCACAAUCAAUUGAAUGUCUUUAGGAGAUACACUUUUCUUUUAAAAAGCGUGACGCUUUGAUGACUCAGUGGCAGGACAGGUGACAAAGGAAUGGCUGCCUGGAGGCUGUGCAUGGCAGGAGGAGACACCACAGUCUUCCCGCCCUGCCACCCGUCCCUGCCGCCUGACUGUGGAAGGAUGAAGGACACUUUUAGAAAUUUCCCUGCGCGGAGAUGCCAGGAAACCAAUCAUCGCCCAGCCACUUUGUGGGGCCAUUAGCAGAGCGUCAAACUCCAUCUUUGUUUAAACGAAAGCACAAAGAAAAUAAUUUUUCAUCUGAGGAAUCACCUUAAGAUCCCCAAAUGGAAAGUAAGGGGAGCAGUAAACCUCUCACUCCGGGUGGGCAGCUCUAACACAGGGCAUUAAGGUAAGAAGGUUAUUUAUGACAGAAGAAAGGAGACAGGAUUCCAAAGUGGGAGACGAAGGACAGAGGUGAUUGGAGCCUAGCUUUAUCCCCUGCCCCAUUCAAAUGCGGAGGGCAAUGACUUCCAUAAGAAACCAGGUGCCACACGUGACCCAAAGGCAAAAGCCUCACUUUAACUCCUUGAUAUGGUCUGGCUGUGUUCCCACCCAAAAUCUCAUCUGGAAUUGUAGUCCCCAUAAUCCCUGUGUGUGUCAAGGGCAGAACCAGGUGGAGGUAAUCGGAUCAUGGGGGCGUUUCCCCCAUGCUGUUCUCGUGAUAGUGAGUGAGUCUCACGAGAUCUGAUGGUUUAAUAAGCGUCUGGCAUUUCCCCUGCUGGCACUCAUUCUUUCUCCUGCUGUCCUGCGAAGAGGUGCCUUCUGCCAUGAUUGUUAGUUCCUGAGGCCUCCCCAGCCAUGCGAACUGUGAGUCAAUUAAACUUGUUUUCUUUAUAAAUCACCCCGUCUCAGGUAUUUCUUCAUAGCAGCAUGAGAAUGGACUAAUAGGCUCCUCUUCCAGGUAAGUUAGGCAGAGUACGUUUCCUCCACAAAACAAAAGAUGGUUGCCUCAGAAUGCCUCCUAACUUUGCCUGCAAGAAGCCUGCAGUAAGACCUUUUCUUAGGGCCAGUCUGAAGGCCACACCCUCCCCUUAUCCCCUAAUUUUGGAUGCAAAAGGUCUCCCUGAGACUUCAGGUGAAGAGGAUUUGACUUUGGAAUCUGGGAUUCACUUUUCAGACUGACCUUCUGCUAUAUUUUGUUUUGCUUCUCUGGGAUUUCAAGCUUGAGAAUAGAGUAAGGAAAAAAGUUCUGUGUUCUCCUUUGGGAAAUUAUUUUCCCUGGUCCCCUUGGUCAGAGGGUAGCAGGUAAGUCUUGAUGGGAUUGUUCUGUGUUUCCAGGCUUCCCUCUGGAAUUAAUCUCAGAGGCAUGGAAGGGAGCCUGAUGGACUCUUCUGGGCUGUGUCCCAGUCAGGAAGCGAGAUCUUUCUAAUUCCCAGACAGGCCAGCGCUUUCUGCUGAACAGAGGCCUGCUAGACCCUGAGUAGGGGAAGCCCAGGCUGCUUCUGAGGCAAAUGAUGACCUUAAUCAUUUUCAGAGGUAUGGUUUUCACCUGGGAAGGGACGUGAGACGGCAACAAGGCAUUCAGUGAAUAUUUAUGAGUGAGCGGAAAAAACUCUUUCCUCCUGUACGUGGCAGAAAGGGUAGCUGGAAGCUGUGCCAAUGUAGGAGACCAGGAAUUCCUAGCCUGGGAGGAAGGAAGGGCAGGGAUGCAAAGGGACAGAGGGAGAAGAGGAAGCAAAUUCCAGCCAGGCUGGCUCUCCUAGGAGGAGUGGCAGUGAUGAAACCCUCUUCUUUAGACUCUGUCUUAGAGAAGGAUGGGGCCCGAAGAGGUUUCCUCUUUCAGCAAGUGUUGGGGUGUGUGUGUGUGUGCGGGGAUUUAAUCAGGGGAUCUACGAGCACAUUCACAGACCCUUAGCUACUAGUGCUGCCCAAUUCCAAGCAUGUUUAGCUUUAAGUACCUCUUGUCUGGUAAUCCAGGGCCAGAUAUCUGGAGGUGGGAACUGGCUGCCAUAGCCUGUUGCUCCCCACAAGGAUGAGGACAAGGGCUCCACUGGGCACCUUUCCUAGGCAUGGCCAGGGUUGUUAUAAAGCAUAGGGUGGGAGGGUGGUUGUGGCUUUCUGUGGUAUAGCUACUGAUCAAUGUAGCAUUUGAUUGAUCCAUUUUCUCCAGAGGAGAAGGGAGUGUGGUGGGAAAAUCCUGAGGCUGAGGAGGUGGAUACUUACAGGUCCUGGUCCAACUGACUGGGAUCUUAGGAUCACUCCCUUCUCCAACCUGAGUGGUUCCCCGCCUUUUUUUUUUUUUUUUUUUUUUUUUUGAGAUGUAGUCCCACCCUGUUGCCCAGGCUGGAGUGCGGUGGCAUGAUCUCGACUCACUGCAAGCUCCGCCUCCCGGGUUCACGCCAUUCUCCUGCCUCAGCCUCCAGAGUAGCUGAGACUACAGGCACCUGCCACCACGCCUGGCUAAUUUUUUGUAUUUUUAGUAGAGAUGGGGUUUCACCGUGUUAACCAGGACAGUCUCGAUCUCCUGACCUCGUGAUCUGCCUGCCUCGGCCUCCCAGAGUGCUGGGAUUACAGGCGUGAGCCACCAUGCCUGGCCAACAUUUUUUUUUUUUUUUUUUUUAAUUACAGAAUCAUCUGACAAAGGAACUCUUUUAAGGAGCCUUAACAUAUCAAAAGAUCAAGGCAGAGCCGCCCUCAUUGAAGGGUUUGGAGGACCUGGAGCUUACCCUCUUCUCUCCUUCCCUGACUGGGAG